UCAACUACGUGUAAUACCUCCUCUCCCACUGAAAACCUCAUUCCAAAAAAGGCAUUCUCCCAAUACCUAGUAUUUGUGUGAAAACUAUAGCUAGUAUUUAGUUAGGGCUGACUUAUAAUAGUCCACUUCUAAGUGCGAUUUAAUGCGGCAUUUUUGAUGUGUGUGUAUGUUGUAAUAUUAUUAUACAAAUGAAGAAAUGUAGGCACUAAGAAAUUAGAAUAGCACAGUGUCCAACACAGUUGCCUGUCGGAAUGAGUAUCAGGUCCCAGGAUAAAUGUACAAUAUCUGAAGGAGGAAGCGUCGAUGGGGAAGUGAAAAGUCCAGUAAAAUGUUGAGUGGCUCGCGCCGGGGGUGGGGGAGGGAUUGACAAAGAUUAAGUGUUAUUUGGGCGCGGAUCUUGUGUGGUGGAACCAUUUUAGGUUCUUCAAAGUCAGCAAAGAAACUGGGUACAAAGACUCAUUCUCCUAAUCCUUGCACCUGAAGGUAGGAGGAGUAUGUUGUGUUGGACUGUGGCAGCCUGUAACCAGGGUUUCUAGGACGAUCCUGCCCGCCACCUCCCAACCAAAAACAAAACAAAACAAACAAAAAACCUACAGGAGGUUACAGAUUUUCAAAACUAGAGACAUGGGGUCAAAUUAGAAUUUUAGAAGAUCACUGGGGAACAGAAUACUUGAAAGGCAUUUUGGGAGAAAUGAGGAGACAAUGGUGGUCAGAACUCCAGUAGUGAUUUGAGAAUGGAGAGAGACCAAUUUGAAGUUUCAGGAAGCAGACUCAGAAGACUUUGGUGCUCUAGCAAGCCAGAAGAGGGCAUUGGAUUUCCUGGAACUGGACUUACAGUCAAUUGAAAGCCACCAUGUGGGUAUUAUGAACCAAACCUUGGUCCUCCUCAAGAGCAGCAAAGGCUUUUAAUCCCUAAGCCAUCUCUAAGUCGCCAUGGUAAAUAAAAAUUAUUAAAGGGCCAGAACUUUAUAUUUGUUUAUAUUCUAUCAAAUUGACUAAGACUUACAUUAGAUUCAUUAUAUCCACUCAUUCAUUCCACCCUCAAACUUUUACUGCCUGUCUUUCCCCGUUUAAAGAACUGUAAUUUCUUAGUUUACACGACAGCUCUGUUCUUCUGUCUGCACUUAAUGGUUCCUAGAUCCUUUAUAGCUUCUUUCAUCUUUCUUAAAUGCUGGACGUGUGAAUUACACACCUGCAAAGUGACACUGGAUGCUACUCAGUCUUUAUGCCCCUUGAGGGUAGACAGCUAUACCCAUUGGCAGAUGGCUACACUAUCUGGUCUUGUUAGCCAUUUUCGGCUCAGGUAAGCUGGUGGGUGUUCCUACUCAGUUGCCAUAUGUAAAGCACCAUUCAUUUCAGCCGUGUCAAGUCAGCAUACCGUAACACAUAUGAAAGUGUGUAUGAUAGGUUUGGGGCAGCUGGCUUGAAUUUUGUUUCUACAUUAAAACAUACUCUUUAAGUUUUAAAACUUCUGACUUUGCAGAAGGGAAUACGCACAGGGAAGGCCUCAAGGAAGAGGGCAGCAAUAAAGGGUAAUUUUAAAAAAGACAAAACACUGCAUGUUUUCUGUUACAUGCAAAAGUCUAGGUUUAAACAUGUGACAUGAAACAGAAGGGACUCCAUUUGGAGAGGAAGGGAGCCCGUGACGGGGACUGAAAAGGACAGAUGCAUGCUUGUUAGGACGGUGCCAGAAUGAGGGCACUGGAAAAUGGCUCAGUGGUUAUGAGCACUCCGAGGUC
Rattus norvegicus (Norway rat) is the source of this 1739-nucleotide non-coding RNA. The record is from RefSeq and is a predicted model, not a curated record. NCBI's taxonomy places the organism in Eukaryota, Metazoa, Chordata, Mammalia, Rodentia, Muridae.